AGUGAACGCUGGCGGUAGGCCUAACACAUGCAAGUCGAACGGCAGCACAGGAGAGCUUGCUCUCUGGGUGGCGAGUGGCGGACGGGUGAGGAAUACAUCGGAAUCUGCCCAGUCGUGGGGGAUAACGUAGGGAAACUUACGCUAAUACCGCAUACGACCUUCGGGUGAAAGAGGGGGAUCGCAAGACCUCUCGCGAUUGGAUGAGCCGAUGUCGGACUAGCUAGUUGGCGGGGUAAUGGCCCACCAAGGCGACGAUCCGUAGCUGGUCUGAGAGGAUGAUCAGCCACACUGGAACUGAGACACGGUCCAGACUCCUACGGGAGGCAGCAGUGGGGAAUAUUGGACAAUGGGCGCAAGCCUGAUCCAGCCAUACCGCGUGGGUGAAGAAGGCCUUCGGGUUGUAAAGCCCUUUUGUUGGGAAAGAAAUCUUUCAGGCUAAUACCCUGGGAGGAUGACGGUACCCAAAGAAUAAGCACCGGCUAACUUCGUG
This 490-nucleotide ribosomal RNA is filed under the name uncultured bacterium. RNAcentral describes it as "partial 16S ribosomal RNA". It matches the Rfam family "Bacterial small subunit ribosomal RNA", at positions 29 to 507 of the family's 1533-position model. The record is from RNAcentral.